CCUACGGGCGGCAGCAGUGGGGAAUAUUGGGCAAUGGGCGAAAGCCUGACCCAGCAACGCCGCGUGAAGGAAGAAGGCUUUCGGGUUGUAAACUUCUUUUGACAGGGAAGAGCAGAAGACGGUACCUGUCGAAUAAGCCACGGCUAACUACGUGCCAGCAGCCGCGGUAAUACGUAGGUGGCAAGCGUUGUCCGGAUUUACUGGGGGUAAAGGGCGUGUAGCCGGGCUGACAAGUCAGAUGUGAAAUCCGGGGGCUAAACCCCCGAACUGCAUUUGAAACUGUUGGUCUUGAGUAUCUGAGAGGCAGGCGGAAUUCCUGGUGUAGCGGUGAAAUGCGUAGAUAUUAGGAGGAACACCAGUGGCGAAGGCGGCCUGCUGGACGACAACUGACGGUGAGGCGCGAAAGCGUGGGGAGCAAACAGGAUUAGAUACCCGGGUAGUC
RNAcentral lists this ribosomal RNA (442 nucleotides) under uncultured bacterium. Its description in RNAcentral is "partial 16S ribosomal RNA". It matches the Rfam family "Bacterial small subunit ribosomal RNA", at positions 338 to 795 of the family's 1533-position model. The record is from RNAcentral.